UAUUGUUCUAAACAUAGUAUACCCACCUCCUACAAUAAAGAAUUGACAAGAAUAGUACGGUUUAUGUUGCGCGUUUUUACAUUUGUUCACAGUUUUAUGCAAAAUUCUAAUAAAAACGAUAAUUUUCAGUUUAUAUAGAGAUUUAAAAAUAAACAUAGUAUGUGGCCGAGAUGUAAAUGCUGACGAGACACGUCCACGAAAAAAUCGUUUGUUAUAAUACAACGAAAAACGGGUUACGGAUCGCAUCUGGAAGUCGGCAUUUCCGAGACCGUAUCCAUUUAAUUUAAGGUGCUUUU
Cinara cedri is the source of this 296-nucleotide non-coding RNA. The record is from the annotation of a GenBank genome assembly. Lineage: Eukaryota; Metazoa; Arthropoda; Insecta; Hemiptera; Aphididae.